RNAcentral lists this ribosomal RNA (253 nucleotides) under uncultured bacterium. RNAcentral's name for it is "partial 16S ribosomal RNA". It matches the Rfam family "Bacterial small subunit ribosomal RNA", at positions 524 to 776 of the family's 1533-position model. The record is from RNAcentral.
GACGGAGGAUGCAAGCGUUAUCCGGAAUUAUUGGGCGUAAAGCGUCCGCAGGUGGCAGUUCAAGUCUGCUGUCAAAGACCGGGGCUUAACUUCGGAAAGGCAGUGGAAACUGAACAGCUAGAGUAUGGUAGGGGCAGAGGGAAUUCCUGGUGUAGCGGUGAAAUGCGCAGAUAUCAGGAGGAACACCAGUGGCGAAGGCGAGUCUCUGGACAUUUCCUGACGCUGAGGCACGAAAGCCAGGGGAGCAAACGGG